Molecule: ribosomal RNA, 774 nt
Filed under: uncultured Neocallimastigales
Lineage: Eukaryota; Fungi; Neocallimastigomycota; Neocallimastigomycetes; Neocallimastigales
Description: partial large subunit ribosomal RNA
Rfam family: Eukaryotic large subunit ribosomal RNA
Source: RNAcentral
AGAGAGAGACAUGCGCGCAUAUCAAUAAGCGGAGGAAAAGAAACUAACUAGGAUUCCCUCAGUAACGGCGAGUGAAGCGGGAAGAGCUCAAAUUUGAAAUCUUCAAGGUUCUACCUUGACGAAUUGUAGUUUAAAGAAGUGUUUUCUGUUGGAGUUUUGGUAAAAGUUCUUUGGAAUAGGACAUCAUAGAGGGUGAGUAUCCCGUAUUUGACCAUUAUUUCCAGCUUUGUGAUACACUUUCAAAGAGUCGGAUUGUUUGGGAAUGCAGUCCAAAAUGGGUGGUAAAUUUCAUCUAAAGCUAAAUAUUGGCGAGAGACCGAUAGCGAACAAGUACCGUGAGGGAAAGAUGAAAAGAACUUUGAAAAGAGAGUUAAACAGUACGUGAAAUUGUCAAAAGGGAAGCGUUUGACACCAGUGUUGUUUUUCUGAAAAUCAAUUAAAGAACUGUUUAUGCUAAGCUGUUUAGACUUUAUCAGCUAUCUGUUUAGUUUUGAGCUUUUCUUUAAUGCACUUUUCAGUUAACAAGUCAACAUCAAUUUCUUUUGCUGUAAAAAAGCUUGAGGAAGGUGGCUUGAGAUUCGUCUUAAGUGUUUAUAGCCUCUUGCCUAUGCAGUCGGAGAGAUUGAGGUCUGCAGCGUAGAUCCUUCGGGGCUAAAUGCAUUUGUGCUAAGUUAUAACAUUUUAUAGACAACUUGUUGACUAUGAUUUGUCUUGUAGCUUACUCGCUUAUGUUAUUUUACCUACGCUUAGGAUGUUGAUGUGAUACUGCGAGCA